GACGAACGCUGGCGGCGUGCUUAACACAUGCAAGUCGAACGGAAAGGCCCUGCUUUUGUGGGGUGCUCGAGUGGCGAACGGGUGAGUAACACGUGAGUAACCUGCCCUUGACUUUGGGAUAACUUCAGGAAACUGGGGCUAAUACCGGAUAGGAGCUCCUGCUGCAUGGUGGGGGUUGGAAAGUUUCGGCCGUAGGGGAUGGACUCGCGGCUUAUCAGCUUGUUGGUGGGGUAGUGGCUUACCAAGGCUUUGACGGGUAGCCGGCCUGAGAGGGUAACCGGCCACAUGGGGACUGAGAUACGGACCAGACUCCUACGGGAGGCAGCAGUGGGGAAUAUUGCACAAUGGGCGGAAGCCUGAUGCAGCAACGCCGCGUGCGGGAUGACGGCCUUCGGGUUGUAAACCGCUUUCGCCUGUGACGAAGCGUGAGUGACGGUAAUGGGUAAAGAAGCACCGGCUAACUACGUG
RNAcentral lists this ribosomal RNA (468 nucleotides) under uncultured bacterium. Its description in RNAcentral is "partial 16S ribosomal RNA". It matches the Rfam family "Bacterial small subunit ribosomal RNA", at positions 28 to 507 of the family's 1533-position model. The record is from RNAcentral.